This is a long non-coding RNA of Physeter macrocephalus (sperm whale), 2883 nucleotides long. RefSeq lists it as uncharacterized. The record is from RefSeq and is a predicted model, not a curated record. The transcript has 4 exons. NCBI's taxonomy places the organism in Eukaryota, Metazoa, Chordata, Mammalia, Artiodactyla, Physeteridae.
UGGGCCUGCGUCGAGCGGCAACGCGGCGUCGAAGGGGCGGAGCUCCGACCGGUCACGUGGCUCCGCACCUCCCCGGCGCGCGCCCGCCCGCUCGCCCCCGACCCCGGCUCCGGCUCCUCCUCCUCCUCUUCUCGCCAUUGCAGUUGGACUCAGCAGCCCGGUGCGCACCGCGUGGCUUUUGGGGCGAGACCCCGGCGGGCUCUGGCAGGAGGGCGGCGGCUGCGGUCGGAGAAGGGGACGCGGACAAGAUUGCUUAGGACUUGGCAUUCAUUCUCCCCCAAAACUGAUCUGGUGCGAUAUUUGAGUGUCCUGUGAUCUGCAAGAUUGGGACCCAAGCAUGAGAGCUUGAAAUCCUUUCCCUUUUCUACCUUAUUUUCUCAGUUCCUCCUGAUUUCACCUUUUACAUCUCAGAGGAAUGAUUCCUUCCCCCUGGAAACUUGGACUUGCCCUCCUGCUACAUUUUGUCAUUAAGUUGCUUAACCUUGUGCAGUCUUGAAAAAUGUGUAAAGUGUCACCAUCUAGUAUUAGCAGUAAAUGUACAGAUCUUGAAUAUCCAAUUCAAUGGAUUUUGACCAGUGCAUGUCCCCAUCAGUAUUACCAAGAUGUAGACCAUGACCAUCACCCCAGAAGGUUUCCGGGACCCCUUCCCAGGUGUUUCCUGCCACCAUCCCCCAGAGGCAACCGCUGAUGAGUUUUGGCUGUUCUGCUGAGUUCGAGAACUUCAUCUGUGUGGAAGCUUUUUUUUUUUCCUUUUUCUUUUUUGAUAGUUGCCCCAAAUGUAGCCACUGGAAGUGCUCACAGGUCAGCUCAAUUGUCCUUUGGACAAGCCUGCAGUAAUCUGUGCAUGUUUCCUUGCUUUCUGACACUGCAGUGUGACCCAGGCUCACCCAUUAUAGUUGUGCAUCAGGUGCCGAAUCAACCAUUUCUUCCAGGAGCUCCUUUUAGAAGAUUUUAGACAAUAUCAGUCCUACAAAACCCUGAAUAAAAAGGUCUUAGUCACCUGGGAUCUCAGUUUAAGCUCAGUUAUUUUCAAGUCUCUAUAUCUGAUAUCUGUGGUGGAGGAAGAAUGUAAGAUGAAGAGAUGGUAAGUGUACAGUGAUGCAUUGGCUCCGGACACCAUGUUGGAUUUGGAGGGAAGGCGUUUCUCCCUUAGGGUACACUCACUGGCCAGGUCCACAGGAAUGGGGGACUUGUGUGCUGUGUUCAUCACUGUCCCAGCAUCUAGCUCAGGGCCUGGCACAGGGGAGGUGCAUGCUGAAUACUUUUGAAUAAGUAAAUACAGUUUUAAACAUCAUCCUUCAUUAUCAGAUUGAUGAAGUUUCAGUAUAGAUACGGCCAGGACUGGUGGCUGUUUAACAUGGGCUCCUCACCAGUCAGCUGUGAUUUCUGAUGGCCUGCCUCUUGUCAGUUUAGAAUUGGUUUUCUGAGCUUUGCUUUAAAUUUUAGAUUACCUGCCAUGGUUGCACUUUUGUAAGAAUUCUUGUUUACUACUCACUUUUAAAAAAAACCCAAAAACUAUUAUGGAAAUUUUCAAGCAUGCACAAGUGAUCCCAGUAUACCCAUCCUCAUCUUCAGCAGGUAUCAACAUUUUCCAGUGUUGGUUUAUCCUUUUCCCUUCUCCACUCCCCACCUCACUGGAGUAUUUUAGAGCAAAUACCAGGCAUGUAGUUUAAGCCGUAAAUUUAUCUUAAAUAUGUAUCUAACAGAUAAAGACAUUGUCUUUUUUUAAAAAAAAAUAAGGUAUUUUAUUUAUUUAUUUUGGCUGCGUUGGGUCUUCGUUGCUGGCACGGGCUUUAGUUGCGGCGAGCGGGGGGCUACUCUUCAUUGCGGUGCGCGGGCUUAUCGCGGUGGCUUCUCUUGUUGCAGAGCAUGGGCUCUAGGCGCGCAGGCUUCAGUAGUUGUGGCUCACGGGCUCUAGAGUGCAGGCUCAGUAGUUGUGGCAGACGGGCUUAGAUGCUCCGCGGCAUGUGGGAUCUUCCUGGACCAGGGAUCGAACCUGUGUCCCCUGCAAUGGCAGAUGAAUUUUUAACUACUGCACCACCAGGGAAACCCCAAAGAUGUUCUUUUCAAACACAGCCGUAAUAUCAUUCGUUCCUAAGUGAAUGAAUAAUUAUUCCUUAAUACAGGAUGUGCUUUUGCAUGUGCUCCGCCCCUGCAACAGCCAGUGAUGUACAUCUUGUCUGUAGCAGAAGUUGGUGCUGUUUUUGCGGGUCUGUGGGAUUUAUGCUCCAUGCUUUCCAUAGGUCAACUCAUUUAAUUUUCACAGUCCCCUUGAAGAGGUAGAGGAGUAGAUUCAUGUGGCAGGUUAGAAGGAAACUCCAACGAAACUUCAAGGCCACACACAGGUGGUGGCCCAGCUGGCAAAGUUUCAGGCCCACAUCUUUGCAAAAGCUCCCACUUGGUGACUACCACAAGGGCCCAGGCACAGCCAGGAGCUGAGCCCAGGGACUGGUCCUCCACUCCUCCCUCCCCUCCCUCCCAUGUCAAAAGCAUUUGACGUCACCUGUCCUUUUGCCUGGCUCUGCAGGGGCAUCGCCUGUCAUUCCACCCUCAGAUUUUCAAGUUCUACUUUGGAACCCUUAAGUUUUCGAUGAGAUUGCUAGGUAGUCCUGAAGCAUUGUGGGAAAUUAUUGUUCUGGUUAGUCAUGUCGGAGUUUAUCCUUGAAGGGGGUGCGUUUCCGAGAUGAACCUGCUGCCCUGGCUGGUAACUGGUAUGGAUCGAAGGGUUAUGUGGUUAGCUGUUAUGUGGCUGGAGGGAAUGGGUGGAUUCAUCUGUUGCCUAUUACGCUGAUGGGAUUUUUUUGGUUGUUUACUCAUUUGGAAGAUUUCGGUGUGGACCAGACUGUUUGCAUAGAGUGGGAAUUGAGUAGGUUGUAGUCAGCA